RNAcentral lists this ribosomal RNA (473 nucleotides) under uncultured bacterium. RNAcentral's name for it is "bacterial SSU rRNA". It matches the Rfam family "Bacterial small subunit ribosomal RNA", at positions 335 to 799 of the family's 1533-position model. The record is from RNAcentral.
ACUCCUACGGGAGGCAGCAGUGGGGAAUAUUGCACAAUGGGCGCAAGCCUGAUGCAGCCAUGCCGCGUGUAUGAAGAAGGCCUUCGGGUUGUAAAGUACUUUCAGCAGUGAGGAAGGUGGUAGUGUUAAUAGCACUAUCAUUUGACGUUAGCUGCAGAAGAAGCACUGGCUAACUCCGUGCCAGCAGCCGCGGUAAUACGGAGGGUGCGAGCGUUAAUCGGAAUUACUGGGCGUAAAGCGCAUGCAGGUGGUUUGUUAAGUCAGAUGUGAAAGCCCGGGGCUCAACCUCGGAAUUGCAUUUGAAACUGGCAGACUAGAGUACUGUAGAGGGGGGUAGAAUUUCAGGUGUAGCGGUGAAAUGCGUAGAGAUCUGAAGGAAUACCGGUGGCGAAGGCGGCCCCCUGGACAGAUACUGACACUCAGAUGCGAAAGCGUGGGGAGCAAACAGGAUUAGAUACCCUGGUAGGAUAGCG